RNAcentral lists this non-coding RNA (25 nucleotides) under Mus musculus (house mouse). The record is from RNAcentral. Lineage: Eukaryota; Metazoa; Chordata; Mammalia; Rodentia; Muridae.
UAGUGCUUCUAGCUGAACUAUGAUG